AUGGAGCACCAGCCGCCAGCCGACGACGUCGUGGUCCAGCUGAGCGCCGCCGCCGUCGCGGCCGUCGACGAGAGGAGCUCGACGAACCACGACGGCGACAACGCCGGCGCUGGGGACGGCGGCCGCGCGCGCCGCACCUUCAGCCAGUACUACAAGAUGGAGCACCGCAAGGCCCCGGAUUUCAAGUGGUGGCAGAUCGGGGUGCUGAGCUACCAGUCGCUGGGCAUCAUCUACGGCGACCUCGGGACGUCGCCGCUGUACGUGUUCUCGACCGUGACGCUGCCGGACCCGGGGGAGGAGGACUUCCUCGGCAUCCUCAGCCUCAUCCUCUGGACGCUCACCCUCAUCGGCCUCCUCAAGUACACCUUCGUCGUGCUCCAUGCAGACGACCAUGGAGAAGGUGGUACCUUUGCCCUGUACUCGCUCCUGCGUCAGCAUGUGAAUUUCAGCGGAAGCAUGCCGAUGCCAGUCACACGGCUGGCGUCCGACAUUAAUCUCAAGUUUCACAGCAAGAAGAAGAAACUGCCGUCCAAGAUGCGCGAGUUCUUGGAAAGAAGCACAACAGCACAGUCAGUCAUCACCUACGUCGUGUUGAUCGCGACUUCCAUGGUGAUGGGUGAUGGUGCCCUCACUCCAGCCAUCUCAGUUCUGUCGGCCGUUCAAGGAAUCCAAUCAAGAUCUCCUAAGAUAACACAAGAUCAUGUUGUCAUUCUAAGCGUGAUUAUAUUGAUCAUUCUGUUCCUUUUUGAGAACUAUGGGACAAGCAAAGUCAGCUUCGCUUUCUCUCCUAUUAUGCUCCUAUGGUUUGCGUUUGUCUCGCUCAUUGGACUGUACAAUAUUAUCAAGUAUUACCCACCAGUUCUCAAAGCCGUGUCGCCACUCCACAUAAUAACGUUCUUCGCAAGGAACAAAAGAAAAGCCUGGGAGCAACUUGGAGCAAUUGUUCUAUGCAUAACGGGUGCCGAAGCUAUGUUUGCUGACCUGGGUCACUUCAACAAGUCAUCGAUUCAGNNGGGAUUUUCAGCAGUAGUUUAUCCAUCAAUGAUCCUUGCAUAUUCUGGCCAGGCAGCAUUUUUGAUCAAGAACCCUUCUAAGCUCAGCACGACGUUCUACAGUAGCACUCCAGAGCCCUUGUUUUGGCCCAUGUUUAUCAUAGCUACUUUAUCUGCUAUUGUUGCAAGCCAGGCAUUAAUAUCAGCCAGUUUCUCCAUCAUUCGACAAUCAAUUGCAUUAGGUUGUUUUCCAAGGGUUACGAUGAAGCAUACCUCAGAAAAAUAUGAAGGCCAAGUAUACUCUCCAGAGGUCAACUACUUCUUGAUGAUCACGUGCAUCGUGAUAACUUAUGGAUUUAAAGGGGGGCCACAGAUCGGGCAAGCCUUUGGCACAGUAGUGAUAUGGGUUAUGCUGUUUACAACAACCCUCAUGACAGUUGUCAUGGUUGUCAUCUGGCAAACCAACAUCAUAGCAGUCGGCCUGUUUUUCGCUCUCUUCUUUUGCAUUGAAGGGAUUUACAUGACCUCACUUCUAAACAAGGUCUUACAAGGUGGGUGGGUUCCAUUUGCAAAUACUGCAUUUUUCCUUGCAAUUACAAUGUCGUGGACUUAUGGGAGACGCAAGAAGAAUGAAUACGAUGCAGCCAACUUGGUGGGCAAGCAGGAGUUUAUUAAAAUAGUAACAGGGAGCAGCCAGGUACCUGGGAUAUGCAUCUUUUGCACAGACUUGAUGAAUGGCAUUCCACCUAUUGUUCGCCACUAUGUUAAGCACACGGGUUCCAUCCGUGAAGUGAUGGUAUUUGUCACUGUGAGGAUUCUUCCAGUGAGAUCUGUCCUUCCAGAAGAGCGCUUCCUCGUAGACAAACUAGAUCAUGUUGGUGUUUAUAGGUGCAUACUCCAAUAUGGCUAUAUGGAUAACCACAACAUGGAUGAUGAUGACUUCAUUGUAUUGGUUGUUGCAUCCCUCAAGCAAAUAGCUGACAAUGAUGAGAUCUUACUGUUGGAUUCAGCUUUCACAAAUGGAACAAGCUUUGUGAUUGGAAGGACUAUUCUAAAGAUGAGCAUCACACGGAACUGCUUCAAGCGCUUCGUUAUUAAUAACUUUUACAGGUUCCUGCAAAAGAACUUCAGGUCCAACAUGUCUAGUCUGAAGAUAGCUCCUGGCAAAACAUUGCAGGUUGGAAUGCACUAUGAGAUCUGA
RNAcentral lists this ribosomal RNA (2193 nucleotides) under Triticum aestivum (bread wheat). Its description in RNAcentral is "partial small subunit ribosomal RNA". The record is from RNAcentral. Lineage: Eukaryota; Viridiplantae; Streptophyta; Magnoliopsida; Poales; Poaceae.